CAUAUACACACAUAAAUGAGUACUGAGAUAUGAGAAAAAGGGAAUCGGCAAUGGUGGUGGCGGUGGCGGUGGCGGGAUCUGCUUAUAUCUGUUGUGGCGGAGGGAGGAGGAGGCGGUGAGAGGCGACGAAGGAGGAGGUGGUGAGAGGUGAUCCAACUACGGAGGAGGAGACGACGAAGCCAUCGCCGACUGCGGAGAAGGAGACAACGACGCCGUUGCCAACUACGCUAUCGGAGGAGGAGGAGAAGGAGAGAAAAGAGAGAGUGAGAGAGACAGAUCAGAGGGGAGAGUGAGAAAGACAUAUCAGAGGAGAGAGUGAGAGGAGAGAGAGAGAGAAAGAGUGAGAGAUAGAUCUGAGGGAAAUUAAUAAAGGGUAUUAUGGUAAUUUUAUUUUGGGGAGAAACGGGGCCGAGGAUGGGGCCGGGACUUUGAAAGUUAUCCCCGUCUUUGGCUCAAAAUUGAUUGGAGAUUCAAUUUUAAAUACCAUCUCCGGCCCAUCAAAAAUAUUUUUCGAGAAAAAAUCACUCUUAUCAAGAAUAGGGGUCGGGUCUCCGUCGGGUCAGGUUUAAAUUACCAUCUGCACUAACGACGUGCUGCCUAUGUGGAAAAUGAUGCAAAGUCGUCCAUUUCUCUCUCUUUUUUAUUCAUUUCAAAUUUCAAAUUCAUGUUCACAAUUGAAGUCUCGCUUUCUAUUCUUCCUUCUCUUCUCUGUUGUGACUCUCCUUGGCGACCUCCCCGACGAGCGCAGCUCUCCAACACCGGCGACCCGACGAGCACAGCUCUCCAACCCUGGCGACAAUCGAGGUUGAACGCAGCUUCUACAACCCCAGCGACCGGACGAGCGGAGCUACUGACGACAACGAGAGUCACUCACGACGACCAACGACGAUCGAGUCUGUCUCCGUCUUCCCACCGGACUCGCUUCUCUCGAUCUCCAUAUUAUGCUGAGGUGAUUCAAGCAUCAUAAUGAAGUUGAAGGUAGUCUUGAGGAAAGCCUUUGAUUAUGUUCGUUAUGAUCUGAAAGAAAUUGCCUUCCCUUCAUCUUUGCCUGAUCCA
Non-coding RNA from Camellia sinensis, 1056 nucleotides. The record is from RefSeq and is a predicted model, not a curated record. NCBI's taxonomy places the organism in Eukaryota, Viridiplantae, Streptophyta, Magnoliopsida, Ericales, Theaceae.